This 459-nucleotide ribosomal RNA is filed under the name uncultured bacterium. Its description in RNAcentral is "partial 16S ribosomal RNA". It matches the Rfam family "Bacterial small subunit ribosomal RNA", at positions 338 to 795 of the family's 1533-position model. The record is from RNAcentral.
UCUACGGGAGGCAGCAGUGAGGAAUAUUGGUCAAUGGUCGGGAGACUGAACCAGCCAAGCCGCGUGAGGGAUGAAGGUACAGAGUAUCGUAAACCUCUUUUGUCAGGGAACAAAGGCGGGGACGUGUCCCCGGAUGAGUGUACCUGAAGAAAAAGCAUCGGCUAACUCCGUGCCAGCAGCCGCGGUAAUACGGAGGAUGCGAGCGUUAUCCGGAUUUCUUGGGUUUAACGGGUGCGCAGGCGGUCUGUUAAGUCAGCGGUCAAAGCCCGGGGCUCAACCCCGGCCCGCCGUUGAAACUGGCAGUAUCGAGUUGGAGAAAAGUAUGCGGAAUGCGCGGUGUAGCGGUGAAAUGCAUAGAUAUCGCGCAGAACUCCGAUUGCGAAGGCAGCAUGCCGGCUCCACACUGACGCUGAGGCACGAAAGCGUGGGUAUCGAACAGGAUUAGAUACCCGUGUAGUC